AGUGAACGCUGGCGGUAGGCCUAUCACAUGCAAGUCGAACGGCAGCACAGGAGAGCUUGCUCUCUGGGUGGCGAGUGGCGGACGGGUGAGGAAUACAUCGGAAUCUACUCUGUCGUGGGGGAUAACGUAGGGAAACUUACGCUAAUACCGCAUACGACCUACGGGUGAAAGCAGGGGAUCUUCGGACCUUGCGCGAUUGAAUGAGCCGAUGUCGGAUUAGCUAGUUGGCGGGGUAAAGGCCCACCAAGGCGACGAUCCGUAGCUGGUCUGAGGGAGUGAUCAGCCACACUGGAACUGAUACACGGUCCAGACUCCUACGGGAGGAAGCAGUGGGGAAUAUUGGACAAUGGGCGCAAGCCUGAUCCAGCCAUACCGCGUGGGUGAAGAAGGCCUUCGGGUUGUAAAGCCCUUUUGUUGGGAAAGAAAUCCAGCUGGCUAAUACCCGGUUGGGAUGACGGUACCCAAAGAAUAAACACCGGCUAACUUCGUGCCAGCAGCCGCCGUAA
This 506-nucleotide ribosomal RNA is filed under the name uncultured bacterium. RNAcentral describes it as "partial 16S ribosomal RNA". It matches the Rfam family "Bacterial small subunit ribosomal RNA", at positions 29 to 523 of the family's 1533-position model. The record is from RNAcentral.